GGUCUGCCAAAUACCAGCUCUUCACAGAGAAAGGAAAAUCAGACUUGUUUAAAAUAGGUUUCUUCUUUAAACAGAAGAAAAUUACAAUACUGUGAAUUUGGCAUUAUUUUCUGACAUUGGAACUUGACAACAGGGAAAUAGUAGAAGAAACUGUAUUGAUCUGGAGUGAAGCUCAAGUUCAGUGAAUCAGGACUCAGAAGAGAAAUGGAGAGGAACAGGUUCCUUACGGUCACAGUCCAGCCAUGGAAUUUGCAGAACUUGGGUCUUCCAUUCCCAAGACAACUGAGCACAAUAUUCUCAGUUUGAGCAAAUAAGUGGAACUGAAAGGAACGCUUCCAGAGGAAGGAGAAUCGCUCCCUGAACUGUUUUAGAUGUUAGCAGCAGCAAGACACAAACAAUGCAGACACGUUGAGAGUCUCUCUGCAAAGCAAUUUUGCUGUCAGUGCAUCAAAGGGGGCUUUCCGCUGGUGCAGGGAAGCCUCUGGCUUAGCCCCACUGCUACGCUGGUUGGUGCAGAUCUCUGCUUGUCCUGUAGCACCGGGUCUCUUCUCCAUACAGGCAACAAAGAAGGGCAGAAAGAACACCCAAGUGCAAGGCUGCAGGGAAUACCAGAGUGUACACCAUACACGAAAAAACCCAUCCUACAGCUUCCCACAAGUCUAGCAGAAUACCCUGUCAGGAGGAACGCUGCCUUUCCUUUGAUGAUCGCUUUUGCAGACAAAAAAGGAGAAAUGUGCUGCGUCUCCGCUGUCGAAGAGCCAGAGGCAAGCAGAGCAACCGGGAUACGUGUGGGGAGCGACACAGCCAACAUCAGGAUUCAGGAGUAA
This 827-nucleotide long non-coding RNA is filed under the name Anas platyrhynchos platyrhynchos (common mallard). RNAcentral describes it as "lncRNA (ENSAPLG00000025950.1)". The record is from RNAcentral. Lineage: Eukaryota; Metazoa; Chordata; Aves; Anseriformes; Anatidae.